UGGUCUUCGUUGCUUCAGUGUAGAGCCAGU
This 30-nucleotide non-coding RNA is filed under the name Rattus norvegicus (Norway rat). Lineage: Eukaryota; Metazoa; Chordata; Mammalia; Rodentia; Muridae. The record is from RNAcentral.